RNAcentral lists this long non-coding RNA (2660 nucleotides) under Homo sapiens (human). RNAcentral's name for it is "HSALNT0032774". The record is from RNAcentral. Lineage: Eukaryota; Metazoa; Chordata; Mammalia; Primates; Hominidae.
CCCCCUCCGCCUCUCUGCUCCCCGGGAGUGCCGGCAGUGCCCGGGCAAGGCCAGAAGCCCAGGCUAGGCCCCCUCCGUGGGCGCGCCAGGUUCUGUGCCGCGUCGUCCUUCCCCUCCUUGGGCACCGGCUCUGAACCUGCCCGGCCAGAAACCGAACCCGUUUUCAGGAGGAGCGCCUGCGGGCGUGCUGGCUCCACGCGCGGCUCUCGGGGCGGCCGGGUUCGGGCGUGUGCGUUUCCAGGCGCCUCUGUCCCCAGCGGGAGGAGCGGCUGUGGAGGGGGCCUGCUGGCGGCUCACCCCAGGCCCGGAGGGUUCGGGAACUAAACCUGCAUCUGGUGUCAAAACCCCUUUUUGCCCACCCUGGCACUGACGUUAAGCAUGCAUCUUUUUUCCCUGAAGUUUUUUUUCCGUAGAAGACAUACUGGGUAAAUUAGAAACAUGUUUGAGAAAGGAGUGAGCGGCGAACGCUGGCAUCUAAACAACACAAAAGUGCCCACGCCAGGCCACACGCCCAGGCGGCCGCGGCCUCGGCGGCGGCGCAGCGCCCCCUGGCGGCCGCGCGGGGCCCCUACCGAGCCGCCCCCGGCCGUGUCCCCUCACCUCCCCUCACCUCCCACGCUCCUGAGCCGGGAGCAGCCGGGAGGGCCAGGGAGACCCCUGCUCCCCCAAGUCAGAGCAACAGUGGGACACUUUGGGAGGAAGGGAAUGAAAGGAGUCCAACGCCAAGGUCCUGGGGGAUGCUUUCUGUGGUUUCGUGGCUGGCGCCGAAGUCAAGAACCUAGGGAAGGAGCCAACAUAAAAGAAAACCCUUGAUCCAUUUUCAAUGAAUGCCUGAAAUUCUACCAAUCCAGCAUCAUCCCUUCACCUGCAGGCUUUGAUUCCUUUUAAAAUGCAAAUGCCUCAAGGAAGGGGAACCCUUAAAACAAGGGCAGAUGGCAGGCUACAUCAAGAAAUCACCAACGUCACCAAAGAGACAUGAUUACGCCAUGAUGUGUACAUACUAUAUGGUAAUGGCGUUUAAUAAGCAGCGUUUAAUCUUUUUUUUAUUCCUGUUGUUGGUUGUCCAGGCAUCCUUUUGUACUCUGACAAGCAGUGUUUCUUCAGGAUGCCCCGCCCGCAGUGGCCAGACCCUCUAGUUCAGUUGCUCCAAGUUUUCUUACCCUUUGCAUCCUAAACCUUUCUCCAAUCAUUCUACUUCCCAUUCUCACAAUCCUGCUUGAUUGGAGGUUCACAGCAUCUUAUCGCUAGUCCCAAUCAUUGCAGUAGCCCAGUGGGAGUAUCUGGAUCCCUUCCAUAGCACACAGGGUCCUGGGGAAGUUCAAGAGAGUCUCUCAAGUCCUUUCUGUACAAUACGCAACACCACUGAAUCUGUCAAGAGGCGGCUGCCUUGUGCUGGUGGUGGGGUGGGGGGACUGUCUUCCCAAAGUCAGCAGAGAACCCCUGCUUUCGGCUUCCCAUCAUCUAUCUGGAAUUUCUCUCCUCUUGCCACUCCUCCAUCUGGCAGAAGCCAGAAGUAGGGGUGCUGGGUUUCUGAAGGACCCAGGCAGGGUCUUUCCCGCUUCUCCCCUUUGUCCUCUGAAUCCGUCUUUUUCCUGCUCAUAGGGUUUCUACUUAGCCAUACUGUCCGGUGGGAAUGCCUCCAACUCCAGAGCUUCCUCUUCUUUCAAGUGUCUCCUGCUGUAUCAGUUAUCUGUUGCUACAAAACGAGCCACCCAGUGGCUUACACUCAGUAGCUUAAAACAAUAAACAUUUAUUUGCUCAUGACUCUGUGGGUCGGCUGGGCGGUUCUUCUGGCUUGGCUCUGCUGGGCUCACUGUGUUUGUGGUGAGCUGGCAGGUCAUCGGAUGGUUUAAGAUGGCCUCCCUCACACAUCUGGUGGUUGGCAGGCUGUCAGCUGGGGUGAAAGGGUGACCCGGCCACGUGUCUCUCAUCUAGCAGGCUAGCCUACCCCAGGCUUCUUCCAAUGGCAGUAGGCUUCCACGGAUGGGAAGAGCAAAAGCUACAAGACUUCUUGAGCCCCAGGCUUGGAACGGACGCACCUUCCCUUCCACCGCAUUCUCUUCAUCAAAGUGCCUCAGCCUCGAACCUUGUGAUGAGUGAGAAAUCUUUCUCCCCUACGGGUGAAGGAAAGAGCCUGAGUCUCUGCUGUGGCUGGGGACAGGAAAUGCACCCACCUGCCAAGCUGCUGGUGACACCUGGUGGCAGCCAGGAAGCCCCAGACUCCUGAGGGAGGAGCAGUGUCCCUAUUCUCCGGCCCCCAGUUAUUUUUAGGGUUUCCCACUGCCAUGGUUGUGCUGGGGUCUCUCGUCCAUAGCUGCAAAACACUGGCAUUCUCCUGUGAUUUUUGAGUCCAUGGAUACAGCCUUCUUCCACUCCACACAGUCCGUGGAAGCCCCCCAUCUGGCUGGGGUACACGAAUCAAUCUUGGUGGGCCCGGAGACUCGAUUCCUCAGAGGCACCCUCUGCAGCGUCACCCCGGAAGUCUUGCCACACCACCCACCCCCCAUUCUCACCUCUCCUUUCUGCCUUCUUCCUUCUCUCCCACCUGCCCCUCAGAACACAUACUCUUGAAUGAGUUUAAGUUUUUCAAGAGGAAGAAGUACAUCAGCCUUGCUGAAAUAAUCGAAUAAGGGGAUACCAGCAACAUGGAAACCAGAAAC